UGAAAGCCCUGGGCUCAACCUGGGAAUUGCAGUGGAUACUGGAUCACUAGAGUGUGGUAGAGGGUAGCGGAAUUCCCGGUGUAGCAGUGAAAUGCGUAGAGAUCAGGAAUAAAACUUAUAGAACAAGUGGAUAUAUGAGAAGAAUUUAUAGUUGUGCAAUUGAAGGGAGGAGAGAGAAAUGAGUUAAGUAGGUAAGGAUCUUAAUNNNUUCCUCCCCCCCGGUAGGUCAUGUCGGGCGUCAGCCCUUCUUUCCCCAUCAUUGCUCGAGAACGCAGCAAUUAGGUGCGGCAUCUGCUCCGGGCGUGAAUACACAGUGUAACUCGUGGAGACCCGGUACCGGUACCGCCGUCACGUGAUUGACGUGAGCACUUGUAGGGCUCUCCUUGUGUGAUGCGCCGUAUGUAACUGAGAGCGGUAUUUGUGACAUAUCUUUCGGACGGUGACCANAGAGCCGUUCGAGACAUAUUCAUCACCCGUAUUGUCCGGGACAAGAGGGAGGAGACACGUGCACCUAGGCGCUGACAACGCAGAUUGUAUGCCGUAGACUGAACUCCAANAUCCCUUAUCUAGGCGAGGAGGUACGCUGUCACCNAGGUUGGCUAUCACUGACAUGUGGUGCGACGUGGUGUGCGUGGAUCUCGCGCACUUAUGAGACCGCGAUGUUAGUACUCUUGGUGUAGAUCAUAGAUGGCCCAGCGGCUCAUCGCACGCGCAGUUGUCAUAAUCGCAGUUGCUGCUACGACUAUCUCUUUUACAGAACGAGAGCAUGNUAUGAACACGUGGCCAUGUNUACGANGAACCAUGGUCUCUUACCGUUCUGGAGGAGUCCGCUUAGCUUAGGAACAUAGCGUAUAACAGGAAAAAGGCACCCAUGCCUAUUCUCUGAAGGGACUUAACUGAAGUGUCGAAUUACUAUCGUGUAAUACAGUAUCGUAACGUAUCAUUUGUGGACUUGGUCGGAGAAUCUUGGACUAAUGGGGAAUUCGGGUGCAUUUUGCGGGUAGCCCCGGAAUUUGGUAUUGUAUACCGGCGGCAUAUCGGGGGAGGGAUACAGUUUAGUAGGAUAUUCACUAGCCCAGUUUGCAGCCAGAGAUAGAGGACCGAUAUUUAGAGUUAUACCGCAUGGAAAGUUUGUCAGACCGUCUGUGGGUUCACUAGCGCGAACUUAAGAAUUUAUAUGGCUCAGCGUUGAGGCUGGGACAUGUUCUUUUAUAACUUGUGACGUAGCGAGCGUUUGAGAUAUCUAUCUAAACGUGUCGUUGAGGCUAAGGCGGGGACUUCGAGUCCCUAAAUAAUUGAGUCGUAUGUUC
This 1310-nucleotide ribosomal RNA is filed under the name uncultured Gammaproteobacteria bacterium. Its description in RNAcentral is "partial 16S ribosomal RNA". Lineage: Bacteria; Pseudomonadati; Pseudomonadota; Gammaproteobacteria. The record is from RNAcentral.